This 20-nucleotide transfer RNA is filed under the name Entosphenus tridentatus (Pacific lamprey). RNAcentral's name for it is "Lampetra tridentata (Pacific lamprey) partial tRNA-Asn". The record is from RNAcentral. Lineage: Eukaryota; Metazoa; Chordata; Hyperoartia; Petromyzontiformes; Petromyzontidae.
UAUAAUACUUGCUGGUCUAG